GGAUUUCUUUCGCCUGGAAGAAGACAGGAAAUCGAGCUUGAUUAAUUUCCUCCAAAUUUCAUCCUUGGGCCAGUGUAUACUAAAUAUGGAAUAGCAAGGAUAAGAAUGGCAAAAUUUAGGCUCCAAAAGCUUCAAAUUGUUAGAAAAGUUUGGAAUUCUAAAGCUUAGAAUUGCAAAAAUUUGGAACCCCAAAGCUCAGAAUUGUAAAAGCUUAGAAUUCCAAAGGUAAAUAUUGUAAAACUUUGGUAUCUUAAAACUUACAAUUCUAAAAUUUGAGAUCUCAAAAUUUACAAUUGUGGAAGUUAAAAAUCGCAUAGUCGAGAAUAAUGAAAAUUGAAAUUCCAAAGCUUGUAAUACCAAAUUUCAAUAUCCUAGAAGCUUACAAUCCCAAGAAGAAUUCUUGAUAUUAUUGAAACUCCAAAUAUUGUAACAGGAAAUACUAAAAAUUUCAAAGCUUGCUUCUAUACAUUGGGAUGAAAAGUAAAAGAAUGAGAGCUGAAGGAUCCAAGUUCCGGCGCAAGCAAUAAAAAGAAUGCACAUCGAGACGAAGGGAGAGACGUCAUGGGAUAUCAGUUAAGCAAAGUGAAAAAGAAACAUGGAAGAGCGGUAUUCGCGGUUGAUGCGCUGAAAACGGACCGAUCGUCAUCUUCAGGAUAGUUAGCGUGUCUCGAUAUCUUUAGUUACCUGAAGUUAUGGUAUAUCGUCGCCAUUUGGUUUGCACUAGGUCGCCUUGUACACUGUCAAUCCCGGCUAAGAUACUGGGAUGAAAAAAAAACUAAUGAAGACACAUUCUCCCCUUGCUACGAUAUCGACGGAAGAUUUUUGCUCCGAAAAACCAUCAUAAAUCUCAUAAAGAUUUUAAUUUUAAGCUAGCGUACCAAAAAAUUGGUUUAAGAAGACUAUGGAUGUAUAAAUUAAUGUUGAAAUUAGGAUAAAAGAUCAGUCAGCUUGAACAAUAAGACAGGUUCCACCACAGAUCUCUCAAUUUCCAUUAACUGAACAACGGCAGAAGCUUAAUUUAUACUUAGAAACCAUGUUGUAAUAAUUUCUUCUAUGUU
Bombus pascuorum is the source of this 1058-nucleotide long non-coding RNA. RefSeq lists it as uncharacterized. The transcript is spliced from 3 exons. The record is from RefSeq and is a predicted model, not a curated record. NCBI's taxonomy places the organism in Eukaryota, Metazoa, Arthropoda, Insecta, Hymenoptera, Apidae.